AAAUUUGAAAGCUGGUACCUUCGGUAUCCGCGUUGUAACCUCGAGACACGUUUUCCGUGCGGCGCUAUGGACAAGUUCCUUGGAACAGGACAUCGUAGAGGGUGAAAAUCCCGUACUUGCCAUGGAUGUACCGUGCUUUGCGAUACGUGCUCUAAGAGUCGAGUUGUUUGGGAUUGCAGCUCAAAAUGGGUGGUAGACUCCAUCUAAAGCUAAAUAUCGGGGAGAGACCGAUAGCGAACAAGUACCGUGAGGGAAAGAUGAAAAGCACUUUGGAAAGAGAGUUAAAAGUACGUGAAAUUGUCGAAAGGGAAGCGCUUGAAGUCAGCCAUGCCGCUCAGGACUCAGCCUGGCUUUUGCUUGGUGUAUUUCCUGGGUAGCAAGUCAGCAUUGGUUUGGAUCGUCGGAGAAGCAUAGUUGGAAUGUGGCGCCCUCGGGCGUGUUAUAGCCUUCUAUUGGAUACGACGAUCUGGACCAAGGAACGCAGCGCGCCUUAUGGCGGGUCUUCGGACACCUUCGCGCUUAGGAUGCUGGCGUAAUGGCUUUAAGUGG
RNAcentral lists this ribosomal RNA (549 nucleotides) under Malassezia furfur. RNAcentral's name for it is "LSU rRNA". It matches the Rfam family "Eukaryotic large subunit ribosomal RNA", at positions 111 to 647 of the family's 3401-position model. The record is from RNAcentral. Lineage: Eukaryota; Fungi; Basidiomycota; Malasseziomycetes; Malasseziales; Malasseziaceae.